AGAAUCAACGCUGGCGGCGUGCCUAACACAUGCAAGUCGCACGAGAAAGGGUAGCAAUACCUGAGUACAGUGGCGCACGGGUGAGUAACACGUGAAUAAUCUACCUCCGAGUGGGGAAUAACUGAGAGAAAUCUUAGCUAAUACCGCAUAAUACCCACGGGUCAAAGCAGCAAUGCGCUUGGAGAGGAGUUCGCGGCAGAUUAGUUAGUUGGCGGGGUAAUGGCCCACCAAGACGAUGAUCUGUAUCCGGCCUGAGAGGGCGCACGGACACACUGGAACUGAAACACGGUCCAGACUCCUACGGGAGGCAGCAGUGGGGAAUUUUGCGCAAUGGGGGAAACCCUGACGCAGCAACGCCGCGUGGAGGAUGAAGCCCCUUGGGGUGUAAACUCCUUUCGAUCGGGAAGAUAAUGACGGUACCGAUAUAAGAAGCCCCGGCUAACUUCGUGCCAGCAGGCCGC
Molecule: ribosomal RNA, 461 nt
Filed under: uncultured bacterium
Lineage: Bacteria
Description: SSU rRNA
Rfam family: Bacterial small subunit ribosomal RNA
Source: RNAcentral